Molecule: long non-coding RNA, 962 nt
Organism: Equus asinus (donkey)
Lineage: Eukaryota; Metazoa; Chordata; Mammalia; Perissodactyla; Equidae
Source: Ensembl
GAGACCAGCUGGGAGGCUGUUGCAGUAGUCAGGUGAGAGACGAUGGCAGCCAGGAUCAGGGUGGUAGUGAUUGAGGUGGGAAGAUCUGGUCUGAUUCUGACGCUAUUUUGAAGAAAAGUCUGAUAUGUUUUGCAGAUUUCUUGAGUAUGGGAUGUGGGAGAAGAAGGAGGAGUCAAGGUUGACUUCAAGGUUUUUGACUUCAGCAGUUGGAACGAUGGAGCUGCCAUCAACAGAGAUGGGCAAGAUUGGAGGAGAACCAGAAACAAAUCUAUCACUAUCCGGAGAACCCUAUCUAAGAGGGAACUGCUCUGAAGAUAUUCAAUCCCCAAGGGUUUUGAAAGCAGAUGCCAGCUAUUCCAAAUGAGUCCUUGAAAGAGCUAAAUCACUUUCUGAUUUGAAGCAGCAAGUAAAAAAGUCUACACAUCUUUAAUGGUAGGAAGUAUAACCAAGUGCUCAAAUGAUUAAAAUAUUGUGAUCAGGAGGCUGAGGUACUGGGCUCACACUCUGUCUGGCUCGUUUGCUUCUCGACUCCCCAAUUCCAGAUGGUAGAGACUGUGCUCCUGCCCACAGAUUAGUCCUCCAGACCUAGUCAGUGAUUUUGCAAGAACAUGCCGCAGGUCAUGUGAAAUGCUGGGCAAGAGGCAGCGUGGUGUAGGGGUUAGCUGCUCCGGCUCUGCAUUUAGAUAGAUCUGGCUUGGAAACUUACCCUUCCUCCUCUUAUUACCAGUGGGUCUAUAAGCAAAUUACUUAUUCUCUCUCUCUAAGCCUCCAUUUCCCGCCCCAGGGUCGAGAUAAUUUAGCACAUAACUACUCAAUAAAUGAUAGCUGUUAUUAUUUUUAUUGUCGUUAAUAACAUUAUUCUCAGGUGUAGAUUGAGAUCUAAGUGUAAAUUUGGAAGUUGAUUACUACUGCUAUGCUUCCACUCAAGAAUUCUCAGAAGAGAUACAAAUUCACCUGGCCCU